Molecule: ribosomal RNA, 1200 nt
Filed under: Triticum aestivum (bread wheat)
Lineage: Eukaryota; Viridiplantae; Streptophyta; Magnoliopsida; Poales; Poaceae
Description: partial small subunit ribosomal RNA
Source: RNAcentral
AUGACGCGCACCACCCGACGCCGCGUGCCGGCGGCGGCCAGCGAACCCUACAACAUCCUGCCCACCCACAACCUCCAGGCCGAGCACCCGUCGCUCCGCUUCCCCGAGGUGAGGGCCGCCGUCGCCGCGCUCCAGGGGUGCGGAUUUCUCGGCCGCCAGACCAACGUCUUGGUUGCUGACGGCGACCUCCGCGCCGACCUGCUCUUCACGGGGCUCCACCUCCUCGUAUGGGGCGAGGCCGCCAACCUCCGCUUCAUGCCGGAGUGCCUCUGCUACAUCUACCACCGCAUGGCGCUCGAGCUGCAUCGAAUCCUGGAGGACGACGUCGACGACAAUGGCCGCUCUGCCAACCCCGCCGUGCAGGGCGAGGACGCCUUCCUCGCCCGCGUCGUUGAGCCCAUUUACGGUGUCAUCCGCGCCGAGGCCGAGUCCAGCUGCAACGGCACCGCGGCGCACGCUGCCUGGCGGAACUACGAUGACAUCAACGAGUACUUCUGGCGGCGCGACGUGUUCGACCGCCUGGGCUGGCCCUUGGACCAGUCGCGGCAGUUCUUCCACACGCCGCCCGAGCGCAGCCGCGUCCGCAAGGCGGGCUUCGUGGAGGUGCGCUCGUUCUGGAACAUUUACCGGAGCUUCGACAGGCUGUGGGUGAUGCUGGUGCUCUACCUGCAGGCCGCGGUGAUCGUGGCAUGGGAUGAGGAUGCUGCGACGUGGCCGUGGCAAAGUCUCAAGGCGCACCGUGAGGUCCAGGUGCACGCGCUUUCCAUUUUCAUCACCUGGGCCGGGCUCCGCCUCCUGCAUACGCUGCUGGAGAUUGGCACGCAGUCUCGCCGGGUCACUGGGGACAGAGACGGUCGCGUGCUUGCCGCGCGCAUGGUGCUCAAGGCCUUUGCGGCGGCCGGGUGGGUCCUCACAUUUUCCCUACUGUACAAGGGGAUCUGGGACCAGAGGGACAUUGAUCAGAGCUGGUCGCCAGCGACUGAUGCACGAAUCAUGGGGUUUUUGUAUGCAGCCGCGGUGUUUGUGCUCCCUGCGGUCCUCGCCAACUUGCUCUUCAUUUUCCCCUGUGUGCGGCGGUAUUGGUAUGCAUUGGAGAUGACAAACUGGAAAAUCUGUUACCCUCUCAGCUGGUGGUUCCAUAGCAGCAUCUAUGUUGGCCGUGGGCUAAGGGAGACUGGCACCUUUGACAAUGUGAAAUAA